Molecule: ribosomal RNA, 251 nt
Filed under: uncultured Ilumatobacter sp.
Lineage: Bacteria; Bacillati; Actinomycetota; Acidimicrobiia; Acidimicrobiales; Ilumatobacteraceae
Description: partial 16S ribosomal RNA
Rfam family: Bacterial small subunit ribosomal RNA
Source: RNAcentral
AGAUUUAGUGGCGAACGGGUGAGGAUCACGUGAGAAACCUGCCCCAGACUUUGGGAUAACAGUUGGAAACGACUGCUAAUACCGAAUGACGUCGGAGAACCGCAUGGUUCACUGACGAAAGGAAUUCCGAUUCGAGAGGGUCUCGCGGCCUAUCAGCUAGUUGGCGGGGUAAUGGCCCACCAAGGCAACGACGGGUAGCUGGUCUGAGAGGAUGGUCAGCCACACUGGGACUGAGACACGGCCCAGACUCC